RNAcentral lists this unclassified non-coding RNA (219 nucleotides) under Hevea brasiliensis (rubber tree). Lineage: Eukaryota; Viridiplantae; Streptophyta; Magnoliopsida; Malpighiales; Euphorbiaceae. The record is from RNAcentral.
GCAUCACUGGCAGGAAUGGUCCUUGUGUUGGUUGGUUGUGUCCCGCCUGCUGGAGCAUUGUUCCAUGGAUUUGGAAGCGGGUUGGUAUUUGGUGCAGGGGACCCAGUUGAUGCAUCUGAGCCCGCAGUCUGAGUGUUUGACAAAUGAUCCCUUGACGGAGUGGUGCCCUGGUUUCCCAAAAGAGCCGCAAACGGAUUUAACCCUGACCCAUUUCCUGCA